AUAACUCACUACAUGUUUCCAUAACCUCUUCUGUUUCCAUUGCACAGCUAGGGUGUUGUACCUUUUAUUCACCACAGUAUCUUCCAUCUAGGGGCCAUACUGUCCAGUGAAGAGGCUGUGCUGCUUGAUUUAAACAGAGUCUCAAGCUAUUGCUGUGAUUGACCUUCCAUUUUCUGGCCUGAAAGACAUUCAGGGAAAGAGGAAGAGAUGGCAGUUUCUUGGAAAAAGUACAAGAACAUUCAACCAAAGAGCAGCCUAAGUUGCAUGGGAGUAAACAAAGGACAGAAAAAUGGAGAGGGGGAAGAGAAAUAUAGACACCUGAAGAUCAGCUUUACCACCUUUGAAGCGACUCCCCUGCAGGUGGGGAGCCAGGGGCUCAAACUGUUAUCCUUCAACCUGUCCUUACACUUCAUGCCGUGAGUGCUUAACCUGCUGUGCUACCUCCUGACUCCCAAUCCCAGCCCCUUUUUACCAAUUUUUUAACUUUUAAUUUGAGGUUUACAAU
Molecule: long non-coding RNA, 505 nt
Organism: Erinaceus europaeus (western European hedgehog)
Lineage: Eukaryota; Metazoa; Chordata; Mammalia; Eulipotyphla; Erinaceidae
Exons: 3
Source: RefSeq, a predicted model, not a curated record